UGGGGAAUAUUGCACAAUGGGGGGGAACCCUGAUGCAGCGACGCCGCGUGAGCGAAGAAGUAUUUCGGUAUGUAAAGCUCUAUCAGCAGGGAAGAAAAUGACGGUACCUGACUAAGAAGCCCCGGCUAACUACGUGCC
RNAcentral lists this ribosomal RNA (138 nucleotides) under uncultured bacterium. Its description in RNAcentral is "partial 16S ribosomal RNA". It matches the Rfam family "Bacterial small subunit ribosomal RNA", at positions 355 to 509 of the family's 1533-position model. The record is from RNAcentral.